This 253-nucleotide ribosomal RNA is filed under the name uncultured bacterium. Its description in RNAcentral is "partial 16S ribosomal RNA". It matches the Rfam family "Bacterial small subunit ribosomal RNA", at positions 524 to 776 of the family's 1533-position model. The record is from RNAcentral.
UACGUAGGGUGCGAGCGUUGCCCGGAGUUACUGGGCGUAAAGCGCACGCAGGCGGUCUGCUAAGUUUGGAGUGACAGUUGGUGGCUUAACUGCCAAAGUGCUUCGAAAACUGACAGACUUGAGGGCUUCAGAGGGACACGGAAUUCCGGGUGGAGUGGUGAAAUGCGUAGAGAUCCGGAGGAACACCAAAGGCGAAGGCAGUGUCCUGGGGAGUACCUGACGCUCAGGUGCGAAAGCCAGGGGAGCGAACGGG